GGGUGUAGCUCAGUUGGGAGAGCGCCUGCUUUGCAAGCAGGAGGUCAUCGGUUCGAUUCCGUUCACCUCCACCAUUU
Molecule: transfer RNA, 77 nt
Filed under: uncultured Alphaproteobacteria bacterium
Lineage: Bacteria; Pseudomonadati; Pseudomonadota; Alphaproteobacteria
Description: tRNA-Ala
Rfam family: tRNA
About the family: Transfer RNA (tRNA) molecules are approximately 80 nucleotides in length. Their secondary structure includes four short double-helical elements and three loops (D, anti-codon, and T loops).
Source: RNAcentral